This 479-nucleotide unclassified non-coding RNA is filed under the name Hevea brasiliensis (rubber tree). Lineage: Eukaryota; Viridiplantae; Streptophyta; Magnoliopsida; Malpighiales; Euphorbiaceae. The record is from RNAcentral.
GAGAGCUUUAGUAGCAUCUUCAACCUACAAUGCAUCAAAACAUUACAUGUAUGUUAUAAACCAAAAAUAUUUCUAGCAACCAACUAUUCUUUAAUGUACAAGAGAAAUGUAAUCCUACAUAGAGGGUUUAGGGACACAGAUUAGAGAACGAGGCAGUUUUUAAAGGGCACUCUAAAAUUUUCGAAAGACCUCGAUUGGGCAUAAAAUUCAUAUAACAUUUAUCUACAGUCAAACAUCAUUGGGAGCUAAGCUAACAACAUCAGCUACAUUCAGAAUAUCAGAAAACCCUCUACACACCAUAGGCAGUAGCAUCAAUUUAGUUUUGGUUCAGGGUGCGCACAGGAAGUUGACCAUCAUUAAUUUGCCUCUUUUCCUCAUAAAACUGCAACAAGAAUCAACAUUCUUUCUAUAAUAGUAAAAGUGGACAAUAUUUCAUCAUCCUGUAAAUUUAACGUAGGACAACCCCAAGGCUUUCAAAU